Molecule: ribosomal RNA, 292 nt
Filed under: uncultured eukaryote
Lineage: Eukaryota
Description: partial small subunit ribosomal RNA
Rfam family: Eukaryotic small subunit ribosomal RNA
Source: RNAcentral
AGCUCCAGUAGCGUAUAUUAAAGUUGUUGCAGUUAAAAGCUCGUAGUUGAAUUUCUGUGUAGUGCAAUUGAGGUCUUCGGACUGAUUUGCAUUGCACAUCCAUCUGAACAGCAUUCGUUGUCAUUGAUUUGUCGCUUAUGUGAUCAGAUACUUUACCUUGAGAAAAAUAGAGUGUUCCAAGCAGGCGCUCGCCUGAAUAAUAAAGCAUGGAAUAAUACAAUAGGACUGAGUUCUAUUGGUGCAUAGAACGCAGUAAUGAUUAAUAGGGACAGUUGGGGGCAUUUGUAUUUAA